GCAACAAUCCAUUUUUUUGGGCAUGAGGCAAUCCAUGUUCUUUUUUUUUCUGCAGGGUACCGUAGUUGUAUAGCUCAAGCACUCGUGCAAGGAGCUCGUCAACCUCCACAGACAGUUCCAAAAUUAUCCAGCAGGGGAGAUCAAGUACAAAGCAUGAAGCAGAUAUGAUGUGCAGUAUGAACCAGCUCAAGUAAAUAAGUAUAUAUGUAGUGAGAGCAAGUAUAU
Long non-coding RNA from Panicum virgatum (switchgrass), 225 nucleotides. RefSeq lists it as uncharacterized. The transcript is spliced from 2 exons. The record is from RefSeq and is a predicted model, not a curated record. Lineage: Eukaryota; Viridiplantae; Streptophyta; Magnoliopsida; Poales; Poaceae.